This 1337-nucleotide long non-coding RNA is filed under the name Dromaius novaehollandiae (emu). Its description in RNAcentral is "lncRNA (ENSDNVG00000002082.1)". Lineage: Eukaryota; Metazoa; Chordata; Aves; Casuariiformes; Dromaiidae. The record is from RNAcentral.
GGGGCCGGGAGCCGGGGCCGGGGCCGGUGCGGCCUGGCCCUGGCGGUGCGGCUGGUGGGUCUGUGGGGCGGGAGGGCGUUUGCCGGGGCCGCAGUCCGGGCAGCUCUGCCUCCUCUUGCGGGAGUUGUUGCUCACAUGCCUGCGACAUUUUAUGCUGAUUUCUCCUGUUCCCGAAAUGCUAUUUAAGUUACAUUAGCAACAGCAGCUAACAUCAGGUAAAGCAGCCUCAUGUAACGCACCUUGCGCAACGUAGCUGGCCAGCUCUGCUGCUCUGCUGGCUGAUGCUGCAGGCAGAUAAGCAGUUUAUUUGGCAACUUGUCUAGUUAUAAUUAAGCUGAGGUAGUACCUUAUCUGUUCUAGACUGCCAGCCUUCUUGAACAGGUUUGCAACCUUAAAUUUUUCAUUUCCAGUCCUGCUUCAGGAUUGUUAUCUGCCUGUCAUUUGGGUUCCCUUGGUGUCCUUCCUCCCUACCUGCUUACUAUUUUGAAACAACUAUCGGGGGGGGGGGAAGUUCACUGUCUUUCAUGUCAGACAUAUUUCAGUGUCCCAGGUUUAACAGUCAGCAGAAACAUAAGACUUAGGAAAGUUUUAUUUGCAUACUGCUGCUCUCGUAUCGAGUGACCUUGAUGGAGUCAAUAUCUACUGACAUCAAGCAGUAUUUAUUGAACUCCAUUUUAAUUCAAAGUUUAUCUUCCUAGACGAUAGUUACCGUUUUUUCUUCUCACCUUAGACUUGCAGUCUUUAGGUCAUGUAAUUUAUGUAUUAUGCAACAUGCUAGACUGGCAGAAAGCAAUGACUUUUCUUCCUGUGGUCACUUGAAUUCAGGAUCUUGGGCAAGGAAACAUACGUUGUUAUCAGCAAAACAGACAAUGACUACUACAAAACCUGUGGAGAGUGAACAAAGAGAAGUUAUUUUAUGAAGUGUCUGAUCAAAAAUCCUUUCCACUGAGAGAAAAUCAGUCUUGCAUUCCUUAAAGCUGAGCCUCAGCAAAGGUGGCAGUUACACUGGAGGGUUUUGUGAUGAAGAUACCAAGGCAGGGCACAGGCUAACCAACAAAUAGAAGCAGCUUUUAGAUAACCAUCAACCUGGAUUAGAUCCAGACUUGCAGCCCAAAAGGUAAAUGACAUUUAUGUCCUUAGAUGACUAAUAUACUAGUUGUCUGUUCCUGUUGGGUGUAGAUCUUUCAGCUGUAAGCUGUGUCUGAUUUGAGCAGGUUAAAAAGAAACACCAAGAUCUGCAAAAUUCACUGGCUUUUCACCUACUUCUGGAUAUUGGGUGAACAGUCCUCCCAGUGCAAGAGCCAUGCCAAAUAAAGAUCAGCUCAGGACAACGUUCA